RNAcentral lists this ribosomal RNA (254 nucleotides) under uncultured prokaryote. Its description in RNAcentral is "partial 16S ribosomal RNA". It matches the Rfam family "Bacterial small subunit ribosomal RNA", at positions 525 to 777 of the family's 1533-position model. The record is from RNAcentral.
ACGAACCGUGCGAACGUUAUUCGGAAUCACUGGGCUUAAAGCGCGUGUAGGCGGGAGGGCACGUCCGUCGCUGAAAUCCCCCGGCUCAACCGGGGAACGGGCGCGGAUACGACCUUCCUGGAGGGGCGUAGGGGGACCUGGAACUUCCGGUGGAGCGGUGAAAUGCGUUGAGAUCGGAAGGAACGCCCGUGGCGAAAGCGAGGUCCUGGACGCCUACUGACGCUGAGACGCGAAAGCCAGGGGAGCGAACGGGA